UUCAGAGAGCUGUCGGUCGCCGUACAACGUGUCACGUGGAGUGCUUACGUUUAUACCUUUUUCGUUCAAUUUUUUUUCCUGUAUUCGUUCUAGCGGUUACGCCGUUGUUUGGUUUUGGUGAGUGGAAAUAGAAUUAAGCUGUUACUGUGGAGGUUCUUCGGCACGCUCUUAUUUGGUGCGUUUUGAGGAAGUGGAAAUUUUACGUACGGAGACAACUCCGUGUUUUUCCCUCGGCCGUUUUCUGCCGUCGGAGAAAUCUCUUCCUUAUUGCUUAAUCUACAAUCGUUAUGGUAGUAAAGAAGAUGGGAGUAAUUGGUUAACGGAAGACCAGAGCUGAGACUGCCAGAUGCCAGGAACUAUAGUGAGGUUGACUUCACGAGAAUCUUGGUGACAUGGAGGCUUGUAAAGGAAUUUUAAGAAAACUUAAAAGUUCCUGCUGUCAGUAACAAGUUCUGCUGUUCUGUUAGUUUAUUAAUAGAUGUCGCAAUGAGCAUAAAUUAAAUUUAGUGACUGUGCCUAUAACACUUUGUAUGCUAGUAUACUUCUGACUUCUAAUAUUGCAUUUUUAAUUUUCCUUUGCUUUUCCUAACGUUGUGGGCAUUUAAAGUGUAACUGCAAAGGUUCCUUUGGAUAGUGACAGAAAUGAAGGGAAUUAACACUUGAUUACUGGUGCAGUAUGACAGUCUUCUUGAUUCUGAGGCAUGUAUUUUCUACAUACAUUGUUGAAGUGGAAACUACAUACUUUGUUGAAGAUACUUCUUGCUUAUAAAAAUAAUUUUGAAUUUAUUUUGGCAGUGGAAAGAAAAUUUACUGCAUUUAGAAAAUCUUCAAUGCUAGAAGAUGGAAAGUUAAGGUUUGUACAAUAGCAAUUAGUUACGUAGUGUUAAUGGCUUGGUGCCAUGUGGAAGUGAUUUGCAGAGAACAUUCCAACUUAAUUUGGACUUGGAUUAGAAUUAAAAGAUUAGCGUAAUGACUAAAGCUAGGUAUUUGAACGCAUGAUAUGAAUAUUAACUAAUAUCCUAACCGCUAAUAGUCUAAAUAUAAGACUGGCCAACGCUAGCUGCGAUCAUACUAGCACGCUAUGGGGACUGAAGGCUGGGCUAAUAAUUUGGGUAUUUGGAACUUUUGAUCUGAAUGGCUAUGAAGCUUAAUAUAAAUCUGGUCAACGCCAGCUGAUUAUACUAGCACGAUAUGGGGACUGAAGGCUGGACUAAUAAGCUAGGUAUUUCGAUGUAUUGAUUUGAAUAAUUGCCAGUAAGCUAAAUUUGAAUAUGGACAGUGCCAGCUGAUUAAUAUAGGAAGAUCUGGGGACAUAAGGCUGUCGUGUAACUUAAGGCCUUUGCAAAUGAGAGCUGUGACGGCAGCUAUUGCUAGACACACUUGAGUCACCUUGUCUUAACAGCUUAACUAGAUAUAUUUAAUUAUAUAAAGCUUAAUGUUAUAAUAAAUUGGUGUGUUAAUGUUUAGCAACAUUAGAAAUUUUUAUAAAGGUCUUUUGGUUAUUGGGUGACUACUGUUUUGCUAGUGGUUUGGGUGACCCGUUGGUCAGGAAAUUAUGCUGGUUGCCAGUUUCUGGUUACCGUGGUAGUUUUUUGUAUUCUCAAUUAUUCCCAACAAGAUCCAUGUCAAAUACACUUUACCAUUAUGGA
Macrobrachium nipponense is the source of this 1649-nucleotide long non-coding RNA. RefSeq lists it as uncharacterized. NCBI's taxonomy places the organism in Eukaryota, Metazoa, Arthropoda, Malacostraca, Decapoda, Palaemonidae. The transcript has 3 exons. The record is from RefSeq and is a predicted model, not a curated record.